Molecule: ribosomal RNA, 520 nt
Filed under: uncultured bacterium
Lineage: Bacteria
Description: bacterial SSU rRNA
Rfam family: Bacterial small subunit ribosomal RNA
Source: RNAcentral
AGUGGCAGACGGGUGAGUAACACGUGGUCAACCUACCUCUGUGUGGGGGAUAACUAGCCGAAAGGUUAGCUAAUACCGCAUACGAUCGUUUGGGGGCAUCCCCGAACGAUGAAAGGAGCAAUCCGCAAAGAGAGGGGACUGCGUCCCAUUAGUUAGUUGGUGGGGUAACGGCCUACCAAGACUCCGAUGGGUAGCUGGCUUGAGAGAGCGACCAGCCACACAGGAACUGAGACACGGUCCAGACUCCUACGGGAGGCAGCAGUGGGGAAUUUUCCGCAAUGGGCGAAAGCCUGACGGAGCGACGCCGCGUGUGGGAAGAAGGCCUUCGGGUCGUAAACCACUGUCGAAGGGGACGAUAUUGACGGUACCCUUGGAGGAAGCCCCGGCUAACUACGUGCCAGCAGCCGCGGUAAGACGUAGGGGGCUAGCGUUGUCCGGAAUUAUUGGGCGUAAAGCGCUCGUAGGUGGAUUUGCAAGUCCGCAAGCAAAGACCCGGGCUCAACUCGGGAAUCCGUGUGGA